UUUCGGUCAUUCUGUUGUAUUCUUAUCGGUUAGUAAGCUGGUUGAAGGGGCCUUGUACGCCCGGGCCACGCUACAGAGCGAGGGUGAAGGGGCCUAGCACGCCCGACCCACGGUUGGUAAGCUGGUUGAAGGGGCCUUGUACGCCCGGGCCACGCUAUAGAGUAGGGGCGAAGGGGCCUAGCACGCCCGACCCACGGUUGGUAAGCUGGUUGAAGGGGCCACGUACGCCCGGGCCACGCUAUGUUAGGAAGGGAUGAAGGGGCCUAGUACGCCCGACCCGCUAGUGCAUUACGGUCUCAGCGUUUUGGUCAGGAAUAGCCGAACAGUUAUUAAAGUCACUCGUUACUGUUGUAUAGGUCGGGAGGAGUAACGCCGAGUUGGUGGAUGCACGACAUGGACGCACGAGGU
RNAcentral lists this unclassified non-coding RNA (408 nucleotides) under Melitaea cinxia (Glanville fritillary). RNAcentral's name for it is "misc RNA ENSMCXG00005006163.1". The record is from RNAcentral. Lineage: Eukaryota; Metazoa; Arthropoda; Insecta; Lepidoptera; Nymphalidae.